UGGAGGCAGCAGUGGGGAAUCUUGCGCAAUGGACGAAAGUCUGACGCAGCGACGCCGCGUGAGCGAUGAAGGCCUUCGGGUUGUAAAGCUCUGUGGGGAGAGACGAAUAAGGCAUGGCUAACAUCCAUGUCGAUGACGGUAUCUCCUUAGCAAGCACCGGCUAACUCUGUGCCAGCAGCCGCGGUAAGACAGAGGGUGCGAACGUUGUUCGGAAUUACUGGGCGUAAAGCGCAUGUAGGCGGCAGCGCAAGUCGGGCGUGAAAUCCCACGGCUCAACCGUGGAAGUGCACUCGAAACUGCGCAGCUAGAGUCCUGGAGAGGAAGGUGGAAUGCUUGGUGUAGAGGUGAAAUUCGUAGAUAUCAAGCGGAACACCGGUGGCGAAGGCGGCCUUCUGGACAGUGACUGACGCUGAGAUGCGAAAGCGUGGGGAGCAAACAGGAUUAGAUACCCCGGUAGU
Molecule: ribosomal RNA, 458 nt
Filed under: uncultured bacterium
Lineage: Bacteria
Description: bacterial SSU rRNA
Rfam family: Bacterial small subunit ribosomal RNA
Source: RNAcentral